AUAUCGCACCCAAAAAAAUAACAAUCAUUAAAAAAAAAAAAAAAAAAGGAGAGAGAGAGAAAAAAAAAAAAAAACACAACUCAACCCCAAAGCUACGGCAAGAAGAUGAAAAAUAUUUUAAAGGUUUCAUCCAGCAGGAGAGUUUAAAAGCAUUGCAGAGUUUUAUAGCGCUCCUGACGUCAGCCUCCGAAUGGCAAAUUGGCUGGGCGGGCGGCCCAAUGGGCUGCCUGCAGCCGCCGGCAUUAGCAUAAUAGUAUAGAAACAAGGAAACUUUUCGGGGCUGUCAAUCAGGGCGCAACCAGCUGACUGUCAGCUGGGAGCGCCGUAACCCCUUCCUGCCCGCCCCGCUCGCCGGGGACCGGGCACCGGGCUGGGGCCGCUCCGCCCGCCGGGACGCGCCGUCGGGUGCCCGCCCGGCUCCGCUCCGCUCCGCGCUGCCUCGCUUUGUCCUGCUUUGCUUUGUCCUGCUCUGCCCUGCUCUGCCCUGCUCUGCCCCGGGGUGAGGAGCCCCCGGGUGCUCCUGGCCGGCCGGGCACCCGAGGGCACCGGGGGGACUUGGCCCGGGGGCGUGCGGGGACUGCCCGAGGGAGGGGGCGGCUCCGCGGGGCUCCGCGGGGCUCGGCGGUGCUGCCGAGCGCAGCCGGGCUCCAGCCGGUGCCUGGUGCCGGUACCGAGACCCCCGGGCCGCCCCCCCCGCGGCGGCUCCCCCCUGGGUUUGCCGCUCGCUGCCGGCCGCGAUCGUUCCCCGGCCGCCCCCAGCAGAGAGCCUCCCCUCCCGGUGCCCCCCGGCCGGGGCUGGAGGGGGAAGCCGUGCGAGCGCGGAGCGGGCUGCACCCGGCGGUGCCGAGCGGCGGCGGAGCGGCUCCGUUCAAACCUCGACAGCGCCAUCUCUCGUCGAAAGGUCAGUGCCGAGGCCGUCCCCGGCCGGCGCCGAGCCGCGGGAGCCGAGCCGAGCCGUGCCGGGCCGUGCCGAGCCGUGCCGUCGGGGCCCCGCCGUCGGGGCUGGCCCCCCCCGGCCCGGCCCGGCCCGGCUCGGCUCGGUUGGGGUCCCCCCUCGGUCCCCCCUUGCGCCGGGGAAACCCGCAGCCUGUCGAGCUGCCAGGCUCGCUUUGCCGAGCGAGCUUUAUGGGAAUAUCGAUAGAAUUAAAGUUACUUGUAAUUCCGUGA
RNAcentral lists this long non-coding RNA (1167 nucleotides) under Anser cygnoides (Swan goose). RNAcentral's name for it is "lncRNA (ENSACDG00005002673.1)". Lineage: Eukaryota; Metazoa; Chordata; Aves; Anseriformes; Anatidae. The record is from RNAcentral.